This 273-nucleotide ribosomal RNA is filed under the name Anas chlorotis peculiaris. Its description in RNAcentral is "partial 12S ribosomal RNA". Lineage: Eukaryota; Metazoa; Chordata; Aves; Anseriformes; Anatidae. The record is from RNAcentral.
AUAAUCGAUGAUCCNGGACCAACCCAAACGCCCCUUGUCAAGCACAGCCUACAUACCGCCGUCGCCAGCCCACCUCNAAUGAGAGCGCAACAGUGGGCGCAACAGCACCCCGCUAAUAAGACAGGUCAAGGUAUAGCCUAUGGGACGGAAGAAAUGGGCUACAUUCCCUAUGCAUAGGGCAACACGGAAAGAAGUAUGAAACUGCUUCUAGAAGGAGGAUUUAGCAGUAAAGCGGGACAAUAAAGCUCGCUUUAAGCCGGCCCUAGGGCACGU